This 364-nucleotide ribosomal RNA is filed under the name uncultured microorganism. RNAcentral's name for it is "bacterial SSU rRNA". It matches the Rfam family "Archaeal small subunit ribosomal RNA", at positions 330 to 648 of the family's 1478-position model. The record is from RNAcentral.
GUGCAGCAGGCGAGAAACCUUCGCAAUGCAGGAAACUGCGACGAGGGAACUCCAAGUGCCUACGCUCAGCGUAGGCUGUUCUCAAGCCUAGAAAGCUUGAGGAGUAAGGGCUGGGUAAGACGGGUGCCAUCUGUGGUAGCAGUCAAUAGAUUCGAUUUGUUACUGCAAGGCAUAAGCCGCCGCGGUAAUAUCCGCAGCCCAAGUGGUGGCCGCUUUUAUUGGGCCUAAAGCGUCCGUAGCCGGCCCGGUAAAUGCCUGGGUAAAUCGUGGAGCCCAACUUCACGAAUUCCGGGUAGACUGCCGAGCUCGGGACCGGAAGAGGGAGAGGGGUACUUCAGGGGUAGGGGUGAAAAGUUUCCUUUCC